This 305-nucleotide ribosomal RNA is filed under the name uncultured bacterium. RNAcentral's name for it is "bacterial SSU rRNA". It matches the Rfam family "Bacterial small subunit ribosomal RNA", at positions 333 to 655 of the family's 1533-position model. The record is from RNAcentral.
UUUUGCCUACGGGGCGCAGCAGUGGGGAAUAUUGGACAAUGGGGGGAACCCUGAUCCAGCGACGCCGCGGGAGUGAAGAAGUAUUUCGGUAUGUAGAGCUCUAUCAGCAGGGAAGAAAAUGACGGUACCUGACUAAGAAGCCCCGGCUAACUACGUGCCAGCAGCCGCGGUAAUACGUAGGGGGCAAGCGUUAUCCGGAUUUACUGGGUGUAAAGGGAGCGUAGACGGCUGUACAAGUCUGAAGUGAAAGCCCGUGGCUCAACCGCGGAACUGCUUUGGAAACUGUAAAGCUGGAGUACUGGAGA